Molecule: transfer RNA, 71 nt
Filed under: Loxodonta africana (African savanna elephant)
Lineage: Eukaryota; Metazoa; Chordata; Mammalia; Proboscidea; Elephantidae
Rfam family: tRNA
About the family: Transfer RNA (tRNA) molecules are approximately 80 nucleotides in length. Their secondary structure includes four short double-helical elements and three loops (D, anti-codon, and T loops).
Source: Rfam by way of RNAcentral
GCAGUGGUGGUUCACUGGUAGAAGUAUUGACUUCCAUGCAGGAGACCCAGGUUCGAUUCCUGGCCAAUGUA